GAUGAACGCUAGCGGCGUGCCUAAUACAUGCCAGUCGAGCGAACAGACGAGGGGCUUGCUCCUCUGACGUUAGCGGCGGACGGGUGAGUAACACGUGGAUAACCUACCUAUAAGACUGGGAUAACUUCGGGAAACCGGAGCUAAUACCGGAUAAUAUAUUGAACCGCAUUGUUCAAUAGUGAAAGACGGUUUUGCUGUCACUUAUAGAUGUAUCCGCGCCGCAUUAGCUAGUUGGUAAGGUAACGGCUUACCAAGGCAACGAUGCGUAGCCGACCUGAGAGGGUGAUCGGCAACACUGGAACUGAGACACGGUACAGACUCCUACGGGAGGCAGCAGUAGGGAAUCUUCCGCAAUGGGCGAAAGCUUGACGGAGCAACGCCGCGUGAGUGAUGAAGGUCUUCGGAUCGUAAAACUCUGUUAUUAGGGAAGAACAAAUGUGUAAGUAACUAUGCACGUCUUGACGGUACCUAAUCAGAAAGCCACGGCUAACUACGUG
Molecule: ribosomal RNA, 497 nt
Filed under: uncultured bacterium
Lineage: Bacteria
Description: partial 16S ribosomal RNA
Rfam family: Bacterial small subunit ribosomal RNA
Source: RNAcentral